Gossypium hirsutum (cotton) is the source of this 87-nucleotide non-coding RNA. NCBI's taxonomy places the organism in Eukaryota, Viridiplantae, Streptophyta, Magnoliopsida, Malvales, Malvaceae. The record is from Rfam.
CACGUCAGCGCGCUUUGCUGACAUGACAACAAAUCGCGUCCUCUGGAGCGCAAGUUGUGUCCACGUCAGCAAAGCGCGCUGACGUGG